GACGAACGCUGGCGGCGUGCUUAACACAUGCAAGUCGAACGGAAAGGGCCUGCUUUUGUGGGGUGCUCGAGUCGCGAACGGGUGAGUAACAUGGGAGUAACCUUCCCUGUACUUGGGGAUAACUUCAGGAAACUGGUGCUAAUACCUGAUAGGAGCUCCUGCUGCAUGGGGGGGUUUGGAAAGUUUAGGCGGAUGGGGAUGUACUCGGGGCUUAUCAGCUUGUUGGUUGGGGAGUGGCUUACCAAGGCUUUGACGGGUAGCCGGCCUGGGAGGGUGACCGGGGUCAUUGGGACUGCGGUACGGACCAGACUCCUACGGGAGGCAGCAGUGGGGAAUCUUGCACAAUGGGCGGAAGCCUGAUGCAGAAACGCCGCGUGCGGGAUGAAGGCCUUCGGGUUGUAAACCGCUUUAAGCUGUGACGAAGCGUGAGUGACGUUAAUGGGUAAAGAAGCACCGGCUAACUACGUG
This 468-nucleotide ribosomal RNA is filed under the name uncultured bacterium. Its description in RNAcentral is "partial 16S ribosomal RNA". It matches the Rfam family "Bacterial small subunit ribosomal RNA", at positions 28 to 507 of the family's 1533-position model. The record is from RNAcentral.